GGGAACUGGUGGUCGAGGGGAUCGGAUGCCAGCUGCGGUGAGGGAUCUAGCACUCAAGGGAGCUGAUGAGACGGGUGUGACCGUGCGAGGCCACCGGCGGUCCAGGGGAUCCAACGAAGGCGAGGCGCCGGGAGGGAUCCGGUGCUAGAGCGGCUGCAUCCAGGGAACUCUUUGUGGGCAACCUGUUCUUCUCCAUGGUGCUCGCGCAAGGAGGUCGGGCCGUGCUCUGCAGAAUUCAGAAUGGAGGUGAUGGAGGGCACUGUACAAGAGAGGACAUGUGUAUGGGCAACAAUAGUGCAUCAGCUAAUGUUGUUGGCGGUGGUCAACUGAUUUGAGCAUAUUUGUAGACUGGUAGGCGCGCGGCCGUACUGCCUGAGUCACCACCGGAGAGAGGAUCCGAGAGGAGACGGGCAGAUGCUCCAGAGGAUUCUGUACAUCAAGCAACUUCCUCUUCAUCUAUACCCAAUAUCUCUAUUUUGAAAUGUUCACAUACUUGGUUCUCUCCCAUGUGACAUGUGACUAAAACUAAAAUUAACUAGAUGAUACCCCGCGCGUUGCUGCGGGA
Molecule: long non-coding RNA, 565 nt
Organism: Triticum aestivum (bread wheat)
Lineage: Eukaryota; Viridiplantae; Streptophyta; Magnoliopsida; Poales; Poaceae
Exons: 3
Source: RefSeq, a predicted model, not a curated record